This 678-nucleotide ribosomal RNA is filed under the name uncultured bacterium. Its description in RNAcentral is "bacterial SSU rRNA". It matches the Rfam family "Bacterial small subunit ribosomal RNA", at positions 188 to 871 of the family's 1533-position model. The record is from RNAcentral.
GAUCCGUGCCGCAGCUAACGCAUUAAGUUCCCCGCCUGGGGGAGUACGGCGCGGCCUAUCAGCUUGUUGGUGGGGUGAUGGCCUACCAAGGCGACGACGGGUAGCCGGCCUGAGAGGGUGACCGGCCACACUGGGACUGAGAUACGGCCCAGACUCCUACGGGAGGCAGCAGUGGGGAAUAUUGCACAAUGGGCGCAAGCCUGAUGCAGCGACGCCGCGUGAGGGACGACGGCCUUCGGGUUGUAAACCUCUUUCAGCACAGACGAAGCGCGAGUGACGGUAUGUGCAGAAGAAGGACCGGCCAACUACGUGCCAGCAGCCGCGGUAAUACGUAGGGUCCGAGCGUUGUCCGGAAUUACUGGGCGUAAAGAGCUCGUAGGUGGUUUGUCGCGUUGUUCGUGAAAACUCACAGCUCAACUGUGGGCGUGCGGGCGAUACGGGCAGACUGGAGUACUGCAGGGGAGACUGGAAUUCCUGGUGUAGCGGUGGAAUGCGCAGAUAUCAGGAGGAACACCGGUGGCGAAGGCGGGUCUCUGGGCAGUAACUGACGCUGAGGAGCGAAAGCGUGGGGAGCGAACAGGAUUAGAUACCCUGGUAGUCCACGCCGUAAACGGUGGGUACUAGGUGUGGGUUUCCUUCCUUGGGAUCCGUGCCGUAGCUAACGCAUUAAGUACCCCG